AUUGAACGCUGGCGGCAUGCCUUACACAUGCAAGUCGAACGGCAGCGCGGGGCAACCUGGCGGCGAGUGGCGAACGGGUGAGUAAUAUAUCGGAACAUACCCUAGAGUGGGGGAUAACGUAGCGAAAGUUACGCUAAUACCGCAUACGCACUAAGGUGGAAAGUGGGGGAUCUUCGGACCUCAUGCUCAUGGAGUGGCCGAUAUCUGAUUAGCUAGUUGGUGAGGUAAAAGGCUCACCAAGGCGACGAUCAGUAGCUGGUUUGAGAGAACGACCAGCCACACUGGAACUGAGACACGGUCCAGACUCCUACGGGAGCAGCAGUGGGGAAUUUUGGACAAUGGGGGCAACCCUGAUCCAGCAAUGCCGCGUGAGUGAAGAAGGCCUUCGCGUUGUAAAGCUCUUUGUCAGGGAAGAAACGGUGAGUUCUAAUAAAGCUUGCUAAUGACGGUACCUGAAGAAUAAGCACCGGCUAACUACGUGCCAGCAG
Molecule: ribosomal RNA, 488 nt
Filed under: uncultured bacterium
Lineage: Bacteria
Description: bacterial SSU rRNA
Rfam family: Bacterial small subunit ribosomal RNA
Source: RNAcentral